GAUGAACGCUGGCGGCGUGCCUAAUACAUGCAAGUCGAGCGAACAGACGAGGAGCUUGCUCCUCUGAUGUUAGCGGCGGACGGGUGAGUAACACGUGGAUAACCUACCUAUAAGACUGGGAUAACUUCGGGAAACCGGAGCUAAUACCGGAUAACAUGUUGAACCGCAUGGUUCAACAGUGAAAGACGGUCUUGCUGUCACUUAUAGAUGGAUCCGCGCCGCAUUAGCUAGUUGGUAAGGUAACGGCUUACCAAGGCAACGAUGCGUAGCCGACCUGAGAGGGUGAUCGGCCACACUUGAACUGAGACACGGUCCAGACUCCUACGGGAGGCAGCAGUAGGGAAUCUUCCGCAAUGGGCGAAAGCCUGACGGAGCAACGCCGCGUGAGUGAAGAAGGUCUUCGGAUCGUAAAACUCUGUUAUUAGGGAAGAACAAAUGUGUAAGUAACUAUGCACGUCUUGACGGUACCUAAUCAGAAAGCCACGGCUAACUACGUG
This 497-nucleotide ribosomal RNA is filed under the name uncultured bacterium. RNAcentral describes it as "partial 16S ribosomal RNA". It matches the Rfam family "Bacterial small subunit ribosomal RNA", at positions 28 to 507 of the family's 1533-position model. The record is from RNAcentral.